GCUAAGCUUAUGGAAGAAAAUGUUGGUGCUGCAAUGCAGUUUCUCCAAUCAAAGGCUCUAUGCAUAAUGCCUGUCUCUCUGGCCACAGCAAUUUACCAUGCGCAGCCACCGGAAACCUCAACUAUUUUAAAACCAGAAACAAAUCCCCAGUCAUAGACCUUACUAAGGGGUAAGCAUCCCAUAGACCUAUCUAAAAGUCGCCAAAUGCUUGGGGUCCUGCAUCGUGUUUGUCCCGUUCCAACUCCCACAAAUAGAUGUUCGCUAAUUUUUCAAAUUGCAAUCAAAGUCAGAUGCCAUAGUUCUUUGCUUUUGCCUUUCCUUUCCAGCUUUUUUUCAAGACAGGGUUCGAUAUCAAUGCCUAAAAAAAUGCAGGCAGGCCCUUGAUGUUCUGCCAAGUUCAAGUGAAAGAGAAGAAUUGUCAAAGCUCAUUUGAUACGCUCUUCUUUAUGGUAUCAGUGGUGGGGAUAGUGGGAAAUGAUGGAGCACUUUUCUAGUGAUUUUCGGUAGUGGCUGUGGGACCUUGUAAAAAGGGGAAGAGGG
This 540-nucleotide unclassified non-coding RNA is filed under the name Hevea brasiliensis (rubber tree). The record is from RNAcentral. Lineage: Eukaryota; Viridiplantae; Streptophyta; Magnoliopsida; Malpighiales; Euphorbiaceae.